CAGUAGCCGCGGGAAUACGAAGGGGGCUAGCGUUGCUCGGAAUUACUGGGCGUAAAGGGCGCGUAGGCGGACAGUUCAGUCGGGGGUGAAAGCCCGGGGCUCAACCUCGGAAUUGCCUUCGAUACUGGCUGUCUUGAGUAUGAGAGAGGUGUGUGGAACUCCGAGUGUAGAGGUGAAAUUCGUAGAUAUUCGGAAGAACACCAGUGGCGAAAGCGACACACUGGCUCAUUACUGACGCUGAGGCGCGAAAGCGUGGGGAGCGAACAGGAUUAGAGACCCCCGUAGUCCCUGUCUCUUAUAC
This 301-nucleotide ribosomal RNA is filed under the name uncultured bacterium. Its description in RNAcentral is "partial 16S ribosomal RNA". It matches the Rfam family "Bacterial small subunit ribosomal RNA", at positions 509 to 807 of the family's 1533-position model. The record is from RNAcentral.